UACGGAGGAUGCGAGCGUUAUCCGGAUUUAUUGGGUUUAAAGGGUGCGCAGGCGGCCCGGAAAGUCAGCGGUAAAAUCGUAGGGCUCAACCCUAUCCGGCCGUUGAAACUGUCGGGCUUGAUUAGGAGAGAAGUAAGCGGAAUGCGCGGUGUAGCGGUGAAAUGCAUAGAUAUCGCGCAGAACUCCGAUUGCGAAGGCAGCUUACCGGCUCCUUAAUGACGCUCAGGCACGAAAGCGUGGGUAUCGAACAGG
RNAcentral lists this ribosomal RNA (252 nucleotides) under uncultured bacterium. RNAcentral describes it as "partial 16S ribosomal RNA". It matches the Rfam family "Bacterial small subunit ribosomal RNA", at positions 524 to 776 of the family's 1533-position model. The record is from RNAcentral.